AUUGAACGCUGGCGGCAUGCCUUACACAUGCAAGUCGAACGGUAACAGGUUAAGCUGACGAGUGGCGAACGGGUGAGUAAUAUAUCGGAACGUGCCCAGUCGUGGGGGAUAACUGCUCGAAAGAGCAGCUAAUACCGCAUACGACCUGAGGGUGAAAGCGGGGGAUCGCAAGACCUCGCGCGAUUGGAGCGGCCGAUAUCAGAUUAGGUAGUUGGCGGGGUAAAGGCCCACCAAGCCAACGAUCUGUAGCUGGUCUGAGAGGACGACCAGCCACACUGGGACUGAGACACGGCACAGACUCCUACGGGAGGCAGCAGUGGGGAAUUUUGGACAAUGGGCGCAAGCCUGAUCCAGCCAUGCCGCGUGCGGGAAGAAGGCCUUCGGGUUGUAAACCGCUUUUGUCAGGGAAGAAAAGGUUCUGGUUAAUACCUGGGACUCAUGACGGUACCUGAAGAAUAAGCACCGGCUAACUACGUGCCAGCAGCCGCGGUAA
Molecule: ribosomal RNA, 493 nt
Filed under: uncultured bacterium
Lineage: Bacteria
Description: partial 16S ribosomal RNA
Rfam family: Bacterial small subunit ribosomal RNA
Source: RNAcentral